AGAGACUUAAGUUAACAUGAAACUAAUAGCCUUCAAAGCUUUAAUUGGACAAAAACCAGUCUCUA
Molecule: transfer RNA, 65 nt
Filed under: Potamilus alatus
Lineage: Eukaryota; Metazoa; Mollusca; Bivalvia; Unionida; Unionidae
Description: tRNA-Trp
Source: RNAcentral